Molecule: ribosomal RNA, 524 nt
Filed under: uncultured fungus
Lineage: Eukaryota; Fungi
Description: SSU rRNA
Rfam family: Eukaryotic small subunit ribosomal RNA
Source: RNAcentral
AGCAGCCGCGGUAAUUCCAGCUCCAAUAGCGUAUAUUAAAGUUGUUGCAGUUAAAAAGCUCGUAGUUGAAUUUCGGGGUCUGUCCAUUGGUCGGGCUUAACGGUCCGUACUGGUGUGAUAGGUUCCUACCUUCUGAAUAACCGGCAUGCCAUUCAGUUGGUGCGCCGGGGAAGCAGAGCUAUUACCUUGAAAAAAUUAGAGUGCUUAAAGCAGGCUAUUGCUUGAAUAGAUUAGCAUGGAAUAAUAAAAUAGGACGGCAUGGUUCUAUUUUGUUGGUUUCUAGGAUCACCGUAAUGAUUAAUAGGGAUAGUUGGGGGCAUUAGUAUUCAAUUGUCAGAGGUGAAAUUCUUGGAUUUAUUGAAGACUAACUUCUGCGAAAGCAUUUGCCAAGGAUGUUUUCAUUAAUCAAGAACGAAAGUUAGGGGAUCGAAGACGAUCAGAUACCGUCGUAGUCUUAACCAUAAACUAUGCCGACUAGGGAUCGGACGAUGUUAAUUUUUUAAUGACUCGUUCGGCGCCUUACG